CCUACGGGAGGCAGCAGUAGGGAAUCUUCCACAAUGGGCGAAAGCCUGAUGGAGCAACGCCGCGUGGGUGAAGAAGGUCUUCGGAUCGUAAAACCCUGUUGUUAGAGAAGAAAGUGCGUGAGAGUAACUGUUCACGUUUCGACGGUAUCUAACCAGAAAGCCACGGCUAACUACGUGCCAGCAGCCGCGGUAAUACGUAGGUGGCAAGCGUUAUCCGGAUUUGUUGGGAGUAAAGGGAACGCAGGCGGUCUUUUAAGUCUGAUGUGAAAGCCUUCGGCUUAACCGGAGUAGUGCAUUGGAAACUGGGCGACUUGAGUGCAGAAGAGGAGAGUGGAACUCCAUGUGUAGCGGUGAAAUGCGUAGAUAUAAGGAAGAACACCAGUGGCGAAAGCGGCUCUCUGGUCUGUAACUGACGCUGAGGUUCGAAAGCGUGGGUAGCAAACAGGAUUAGAUACCCCAGUAGUC
Molecule: ribosomal RNA, 465 nt
Filed under: uncultured bacterium
Lineage: Bacteria
Description: partial 16S ribosomal RNA
Rfam family: Bacterial small subunit ribosomal RNA
Source: RNAcentral